GAUGAACGCUGGCGGCGUGCCUAAUACAUGCAAGUCGAGCGAACGGACGAGAAGCUUGCUUCUCUGAUGUUAGCGGCGGACGUGUGAGUAACACGUGGAUAACCUACCUAUAAGACUGGGAUAACUUCGGGAAACCGGAGCUAAUACCGGAUAAUAUUUUGAACCGCAUGGUUCAAAAGUGAAGGACGGUCUUGCUGUCACUUAUAGAUGGAUCCGCGCUGCAUUAGCUAGUUGGUAAGGUAACGGCUUACCAAGGCAACGAUGCAUAGCCGACCUGCGAGGGUGAUCGGCCACACUGGCACUGAGACACGGUCCAGACUCCUACGGGAGGCAGCAGUAGGGAAUCUUCCGCAAAGGGCGAAAGCGUGACGGAGCAACGCCGCGUGAGUGAUGGAGGUCUUCGGAUCGUAAAACUCUGUUAUUAGGGAAGAACAUAUGUGUAAGUAACUGUGCACAUCUUGACGGUACCUAAUCAGAAAGCCCCGGCUAACUACGUG
RNAcentral lists this ribosomal RNA (497 nucleotides) under uncultured bacterium. RNAcentral describes it as "partial 16S ribosomal RNA". It matches the Rfam family "Bacterial small subunit ribosomal RNA", at positions 28 to 507 of the family's 1533-position model. The record is from RNAcentral.